This 675-nucleotide ribosomal RNA is filed under the name Vibrio sp. Zp10. RNAcentral describes it as "bacterial SSU rRNA". It matches the Rfam family "Bacterial small subunit ribosomal RNA", at positions 708 to 1392 of the family's 1533-position model. Lineage: Bacteria; Pseudomonadati; Pseudomonadota; Gammaproteobacteria; Vibrionales; Vibrionaceae. The record is from RNAcentral.
ACCGGUGGCGAAGGCGGCCCCUGGACAGAUACUGACACUCGAUGCGAAAGCGUGGGAGCAAACAGGAUUAGAUACCCUGGUAGUCCACGCCGUAAACGAUGUCUACUUGGAGGUUGUGGCCUUGAGCCGUGGCUUUCGGACUAACGCGUUAAGUAGACCGCCUGGGGGUACGGUCGCAAGAUUAAAACUCAAAUGAAUUGACGGGGGCCCGCACAAGCGGUGGAGCAUGUGGUUUAAUUCGAUGCAACGCGAAGAACCUUACCUACUCUUGACAUCCAGAGAACUUUCCAGAGAGGAUUGGUGCUUCGGGAACUCUGAGACAGGUGCUGCAUGGCUGUCGUCAGCUCGUGUUGUGAAAUGUUGGGUUAAGUCCCGCAACGAGCGCAACCCUUAUCCUUGUUUGCCAGCACUUCGGGUGGGACUCCAGGGAGACUGCCGGUGAUAAACCGGAGGAAGGUGGGGACGACGUCAAGUCAUCAUGGCCCUUACGAGUAGGGCUACACACGUGCUACAAUGGCGCAUACAGAGGGCGGCCAACUUGCGAGAGUAGCGAAUCCCAAAAAGUGCGUCGUAGUCCGGAUCGGAGUCUGCAACUCGACUCCGUGAAGUCGGAAUCGCUAGUAAUCGUGGAUCAGAAUGCCACGGUGAAUACGUUCCCGGGCCUUGUACACACCG